AGAGUUUGAUCCUGGCUCAGAGCGAACGCUGGCGGCGUGCUUAACACAUGCAAGUCGAACGCGCAGCAUUCUGUAGCAAUACAGGGUGUGGGCGCGUGGCGAACGGGUGCGUAACACGUGGAUAACCUUCCUUGAGGUGGGGAAUAACCCAGUGAAAAUUGGGCUAAUACCGCAUAACAUCGCGAUGGCACAUGCUGUUGCGAUCAAAGGCGCAAGUCGCCACAAGAGGGAUCCGCGGCCGAUUAGCUUGUUGGCGAGGUAAUGGCUCACCAAGGCAAUGAUCGGUAGCCGGACUGAGAGGUUGGCCGGCCACACUGGAACUGAGACACGGUCCAGACUCCUACGGGAGGCAGCAGUGGGGAAUCUUGCACAAUGGACGAAAGUCUGAUGCAGCAACGCCGCGUGGGGGAUGAAGCUUCUCGGAGUGUAAACCCCUUUCGACCCGGAAGAAUGCCCGCAAGGGUAUGACGGUACGGGUAUAAGAAGCCCCGGCUAACUACGUGCCAGCAGCCGCGGUAAUACGUAGGGGGCCAGCGUUGCUCGGAAUUACUGGGCGUAAAGGGUCCGUAGGCGGUGUAGCAAGUCGAUAGUGAAAUCUCUGGGCUUAACCCAGAGGCUGCUAACGAAACUGCUGUGCUAGAGUGUGAGAGAGGCGAGUGGAAUUACGGGUGUAGCGGUGAAAUGCGUAGAUAUCCGUAGGAACAUCCGAGGCGAAGGCGGCUCGCUGGAUCACAACUGACGCUGAGGGACGAAAGCUAGGGGAGCAAACAGGAUUAGAUACCCUAGUAGUCC
RNAcentral lists this ribosomal RNA (792 nucleotides) under uncultured bacterium. RNAcentral's name for it is "bacterial SSU rRNA". It matches the Rfam family "Bacterial small subunit ribosomal RNA", at positions 8 to 796 of the family's 1533-position model. The record is from RNAcentral.